Molecule: long non-coding RNA, 655 nt
Organism: Neocloeon triangulifer
Lineage: Eukaryota; Metazoa; Arthropoda; Insecta; Ephemeroptera; Baetidae
Exons: 5
Source: RefSeq, a predicted model, not a curated record
CCUCUUCUCUUCUCUGUGCCACAGCAGAUCAUAUCUCGCCCAUUGUCAGCCGAUGGAGGAUUUCGCCCAAUUGCCGAUGACCCCAUCAGCCCCAAAUACACCAGAGACUUUCGCCGUGCCACCGAGGUCACAAAUUUGGACAUGGAUUAAUCGCUGGAAUGGAAAUAGACUUUUUCAAGUUUACGAGCAUGGAUGCGGCUUGAACGUAGGAGGGAUUUGCCCGCCGCGGAGCAGCUGUGUCCCUAUACGCGGCCAUGGACGGCGGCUAUAUGUGAGAGAGCAGCCAGCGAUCCUCCCUGCAGCCCCAGUGACAGAGAUGAAUUCGUUUCAUUUCACGUAGCUUCCCGAUGAUUUAUGCUUGCGGCGGUGGGCGAGGAAAGAAACUCUGCUGGAGACAAAACGAGAAGGAGGUGCAGCGCUCAAGAGAGAAAGAAAGAGAGUGUCACUGCAAACUCAUCAAUCAUCACACAAACAAUCAGCCGACCUGAUCAACCUCCAGACCAUCCUCCUUUAUUGGUGUGGACAAAAUGAUGAAAUACGACCUCACAGUCGGGGACCGAAGAAUCCAAACAACUUAUACGGAGGCGGUGCUCAAAAUGCAAAAACCAUUCUUCAUUUCCAGUGACAACUUCUGUUUAAGUUUUUAAUUAGCAAA